RNAcentral lists this ribosomal RNA (253 nucleotides) under uncultured bacterium. RNAcentral describes it as "partial 16S ribosomal RNA". It matches the Rfam family "Bacterial small subunit ribosomal RNA", at positions 524 to 776 of the family's 1533-position model. The record is from RNAcentral.
UACGUAGGGGGCAAGCGUUGUCCGGAUUUAUUGGGCGUAAAGAGCGUGUAGGCGGCUAGGUAGGUCCGUUGUGAAAACUCGAGGCUCAACCUCGAGACGUCGAUGGAAACCAUCUAGCUAGAGUCCGGAAGAGGAGAGUGGAAUUCCUGGUGUAGCGGUGAAAUGCGCAGAUAUCAGGAGGAACACCAAUGGCGAAGGCAGCUCGCUGGGACGUGACUGACGCUGAGACGCGAAAGCGUGGGGAGCAAACAGG